This 253-nucleotide ribosomal RNA is filed under the name uncultured bacterium. Its description in RNAcentral is "partial 16S ribosomal RNA". It matches the Rfam family "Bacterial small subunit ribosomal RNA", at positions 524 to 776 of the family's 1533-position model. The record is from RNAcentral.
UACGUAGGGUGCAAGCGUUAAUCGGAAUGACUGGGCGUAAAGGGUGUGUAGGCGGUUUGUUAAGUCGGAUGUGAAAUCCCCGGGCUCAACCUGGGAACUGCGUUGGAAACUGGCAAACUAGAGUACGUAAGAGGGGGGUAGAAUUCCACGUGUAGCAGUGAAAUGCGUAGAGAUGUGGAGGAAUACCGAUGGCGAAGGCAACCCCCUGGGACGAUACUGACGCUGAGGCACGAAAGCGCGGGGAGCAAACAGG